Coemansia furcata is the source of this 73-nucleotide non-coding RNA. The record is from the annotation of a GenBank genome assembly. NCBI's taxonomy places the organism in Eukaryota, Fungi, Kickxellomycota, Kickxellomycetes, Kickxellales, Kickxellaceae.
UCCCUAGUGGUCUAGUGGUCAUUGAUUUCUCGCUUUCACCGAGACGGCCCGGGUUCGAUUCCCGGCUGGGGAA